Bradysia coprophila is the source of this 187-nucleotide long non-coding RNA. The record is from RefSeq and is a predicted model, not a curated record. Lineage: Eukaryota; Metazoa; Arthropoda; Insecta; Diptera; Sciaridae.
UGGUAUCGGUUGAAAUUUGCUCCAGUUAGCGUGUUCACAAAGAGCAGAUAAGGCUUUUUCUGAGAACUACUUCCAGAUGGUUGAACCAAUACCACCAAUUUUCGAACUUGACCUGAGGAUUUCAAUACUUUAUCGAAUAAAAAAAAAGUUUUUGAAAAUCGGUUGAACUUCGCUCCAGUUAUGGUGU